Molecule: RNA transcript, 3011 nt
Organism: Macadamia integrifolia
Lineage: Eukaryota; Viridiplantae; Streptophyta; Magnoliopsida; Proteales; Proteaceae
Exons: 2
Source: RefSeq, a predicted model, not a curated record
AUGGGCAGUUAGAAAUAACAAAGCUCACUGAGCAGCUGGAAUCUGUACAAAGCCAUCCGCAGCGCGAAUCCAUUCAAGAGAAGGAGAUUUCAGUGAGGCAGAAAUUAGAAGAAGCCCUAGUGGGUGAGGAGCGCUAUUGGGCUCAGAGAUCUAGGAUCCAAUGGAUCAAAGAUGGAGACAGAAAUACCUCUUUCUUCCAUACGGCUACUUCCCGAAGACGCGAGCUCAACUACAUCUCUUGUCUCCGCAAUUCUAGUGGGGAUUGGAUCCCGGAAAGCCAAGGUUUGUCUGAUCUUAUUACAAGUUAUUUUUCAAACCUCUUUACCUCCUCCACUAUGGGGAAUAUUGCUGAUUUCUUGGACUGUGUCCCUACUCGGGUUACUCCUGAGCAGAACCAAAUACUUUGUUCUCCAUUUACUGCUAAAGAGGUUAGGGUUGCUGCCUUCCAGAUUGGGGUUUUUAAAGCCCAUAGUAUUGAUGGACUUCCUGGGAAGUUCUAUCAGUUGCAUUGGAAUAUUAUAGGUGCUGAUGUGGUUAAUGCUGUACAAUGGUUUUUUAACUCUGGUCACAUGCGUAAGAGCUUUAAUGAAACAGUCAUUGUCCUAGUUCCAAAACAUAAAAGCCCUAGUGAGUUGCACCAUUUCCGGCCCACUAGUUUGUGCAGAGUCAUUUACAAAAUUAUUGCAAAAUGUCUUGUGAAUCGGCUCAAACCUUUUUUACAUUCUUUAGUUCAUCCAUUUCAGAGUGCUUUCAUCCCUUCUAGGGCCAUUUCGGAAAAUGUAUAUAUUGCACAUGAAAUUUUACACCAAAUGAAGCACUCUAGUCAAAAAAAGGGUAUAUGGCUCUAAAGUUGGACCUUAGUAAGGCAUAUGAUAGAGUUGAAUGACAAUUUCUAGAACAUAUGCUGCACAAAAUGGGAUUUUGUGCCACGUGGGUCAAUUGGACAGUGCAAUGUGUGUCCUUGGUUUCAUACCAUAUCAAAGUACAUGGUAGCAUUGUUGGGAAGGUCACCUCUUAUAGGGGGCUCCGUCAAAGAUGGCCCCUAAGCCCCUAUCUUUUCAUUUUAUGUCAAGAUGCUUUUUCUUGCAAUUUCAUUAAGGCUGAGAGAUGUAAGGAGAUAUAUGGGUUUAAAACUAGUAGAUCGGGUCUUGUAAUAUCCCAUCUCCUUUCUGCCGAUGAUUGUCCCUUUUUCUCCAAAGCAGGGGGUAAUGAAGGUCGGCAAAUUUCUAGGCUCAUUGAGAAUUAUUGUAGUGUUUCUGGGAAAAUGCUUAAUGUUGAUAAAACCAGUAUUUGGUUUAGUCCUUGUACUCCCAUCUCUUGUCGUGGAGAGGUCUUUAAUGCAACCGGGUUUAGGGAGGUUCCUGACCUUGGCAAAUAUUUGGGUCUUCCAACCAAUUUUGGUAGAUCCAAAAAGACUCUCUUUUCUUACAUUAUUGAUAUAGUGCAGAAUAGACUUUCUGGGUGGAAGGAAAAACUACUGUCCGCAGUAGGUAAGGAGAUACUCAUUAAGUCUGUUGUCCCUGCUUUGCCCUCUUACACUAUGUCAAUGUUUCUCCUUCCUUCCUCUUUAUGCUAUGCUUUAGCUAAAAUUGUUAAGACAGUUUUGGUGGAAGGAUAGCACUGGGAAAGGGGUUUGCUGGAUUAAAUGGGCCCACCUUUGUAGGAGUGAAAAAGAGGGAGGGCUGGGGUUCAGGGACAUCCACUGCUUUAAUAUUGCUCUUUUAGCUAGACAAGGGUGGAGGCUCAUUCAAAAUGAGUCCUCCCUUUGGGCUCAGGUGUUUAACGGUAGAUAUUUUAAUUCUUCUUCAUUUUUGGAGGCUAAGCCUAAGGGUAGUUGCUCCUGGGCAUGGCGUAGCCUACUCAAGGGCUGUAUAGAGCUAUUGGUAAUGGCUGCUCAACAACUAUUUUUAAGGAUAGAUGGAUCCCUGCUCUACCGGGUGGGAUAAUCAUUAGCCAAAACCAACAUGCAUCUGUCUCUUUUGUGUCUGAACUUAUUAUGCAUACUGUUAGGAAAUGGAACUUACCUCUCCUUAGAUCUAUCUUUAUGGAAGAUGAGGUAAAGGCCAUUUCCCAAAUUCCCCUUUGUUUGUCUCCAAAAGAUGACAGUUGGCCCCUUUGUUUGUCUUCAAAAGAUGACAGUUGGGUCUGGGGAUUGUCAAAAUCAGGAAUUUUCUCUGUAAGGUCUGCUUAUUAUACAUCUCUAGCCCGGCUCUCAACUGGAUCUGCAUCUUUUGAUCCCUUUUGGGUUGUCCUUUGGAACCUCAAUAUUGUUCCCAAAAUAAGAUUCUUCAUUUGGAAGUGUUGCUCUAACUCUAUUGCAGUAAAAAACGUUCUCUUUAUAAGACAUCUGGCCGCUGAUACUCUAUGUCCACUAUGUAGCAGUAAGGAUGAAUCUAUUGUGCAUGCGCUGUUCCAUGAUUUGGAAGAGUAGAAAUGGCGUAGUUUUCAAUCGUACCCCCUUGAUCUUUAAGGAGUUUUAACUGCGGUUGCUGCAUCCAUUGCAGGACACAUUCAUUCUGAAACCCUUUCUGUCCCUGGUAGGCCUUGGCUGAGAGAGGUCGCUACGGGGCUGCUUCAACCUGAGUGCUCAGUUGUGCAUACGGAUGGUGCUUGGAGGGCUUCAACUUGCAAAGGCAGUAGAGGAAUUAUCAUUGAAUCUUCAUCUGGGGAUUUCUAUGUGGCUUACUGCCGUAGUGGACUCUGUUACCCUGCUAUGGCUACAGAAGCUGAAGCAAUCCGUGAUGGCGUCCUUCUUGCUGUGUCAUUAAAUCUCUCUGCUGUUUUGAUUUGAAGUGAUUAUUUGCCUCUGGUUGUGGCAUGUAAUAGGCGCAAUGCCUCGUUAGAUUGGGCUGCUCGUUCGAUUGUUGAUAAUUUGUUGAGAUUAAUAGGUUCUAUUUCUUCUGUAACCUUUAGGUUUGUUCUUCGUGAGUCAAAUAGGGAGGCACAUUUUCUUGCUAAGGGUGCUUCUUUGUUCUCUCUUUCUCAUGUCUGGUGGUUCCAUCCCCCCCCCC